AUCGAAAACCAUGCUCCCAUUGAGCCAAAGCUCUCUUCUUCCUUCAUCACAGACUCCGAAAUCCAAUCUGAAUUUGCUCACCAUGCUCCUGGUGUUGCCAUGAUGAACAAUGGCAGCUUUGGUUGCUGCCCUGCUUCUGUCAUCUCUGCCUUGCAACAAUGGCAGCUCAAAAUGCUCCGCCAGCCGUGCAAUUUCUUCUUGAAUGAUCUCCAGAACAGGAUACUUGAAUCAAGAACCAUAGUUAAAGACCUUAUCAACGCAGAAGAUGUGGAUGAAGUCUCCAUUGUAGACAACAUCUCCACUGCUGCUGCCAUAGUCCUGCAGCAAACAGCAUGGGCGUUUGCUGAAGGGAAAUUCAACAAGGGGGAUGCUGUCAUUAUGUUUAGCUGCACUUAUGGUGCGGUGAAGAACUCAAUCAAGGCCUACUUUUCACGUGCUGGUGGGUACGUUAUCGAAGUUCCAUUUAACUUUCCAUUGAAUUCCAAUGAAGAAAUCAUAAGUGAAUUUAGGAAAGCAUUGGAGAGAGAAAAGGGUAAUGGUAGGAGAGUGAGAUUGGCUGUGAUUGAUCAUGUCACAUGCAUGCCAAGUGUUGUAAUGCCAGUUAAGCAAUUGGUUAAAAUCGUUAGGGAAGAAGGUGUUGAACAAGUUUUCAUAGAUGCAGCUCAUGGUGUUGGGUGCGUAGAUGUUGAUAUGCAAGAAAUUGGGGCAGAUUUUUAUGCUAGUACUUUGUAUAAGUGGUUCUUCUGCCCACCUGCAGCUGCAUUUUUGUAUUGUAGGAAGUCAGCUACAUAUUCAGAUUUGGAAUUACAUCACCCUGUUGUAUCUCAUAGGUAUGGUAAGGGGUUGGCUGAAGAAAGUUUUUGGGUUGGGACAAGGGAUUAUAGUCCAUAUCUGGUGCUUCCUUCAGCUAUGGAGUUCGUUAAGAGGUUCAAAGGCGGUGUUGAGGGAAUCAGAAAAAUGAAUCAUGAUGCUGUUGUAGAGAUGGGGAAGAUGUUGGCAGAAGCUUGGGGAACCAAUCUAGGCUGCCCUCCUGAUAUGUGUGCUAGCAUGAUCAUGGUUGGUUUACCAUCUUGUUUGGGGAUUUCAAGUGAUAAUGAUGCUAUGAAGUUAUGGGCACAUUUACGCAAGAAAUUUGGUGUUGAAGUCAGGAUACAUUAUCAAGCUCCCAAAGAUGGAGAGGUUGUGUUGACAACGGGGUACAUUCGAAUUUGUCAUCAGAUUUACAACAAAGUUGAUGACUAUUACAAGCUCAGAGAUACAAUUAAUCAACUCGUUCAUGACGGGUUCACUUGCGCUCUUGAGGUAUACAUAUUGUCUUGAUCCACUUUAUUGGUUUGUAAGCUAGAGCCUAGACAUACUACACACUGCAAUUUCCUGAAUUUGGUUUGCUUACUUGUUAUUGACAUGGGAUUUUUAUGUUAAUCUGCAGAUCAAUGACGCCUGAAGAAAUCCGUUUGAUAAAUAAAAAGGAGCUAUACAUAUAGUUCUCUGUCUCCUACAUGCUUUGCUAGUUGAAACACAAACAAUCCAUACAAAAAAGUUCAUGAACUGGUUUUUUUUUUUUUUUUUUCAGUUUGAUAUGCCGAAAUGUUGGUGUAUGAAUACCUAAGCAAUUUUCUGUCAGCUUCAACGAAUGUAAUUUCCAGAGAUGUUUUAGACAACCACUCACUAAUGGACUCCAUUUGAACACAGCACUGACCUAAAAAUACAUGCCCUCAACUCUCUCCCCUUUAAAUUUUUAUAAUAAGCAAUUGUAACUGUUCUGAAAAAAAGAAAAAAGAAAAAAGAAAUUGUAAUAUAGAGUGUUGACUGUCACUUUGAGCAGUGUGAGAGUUAAACUGUCUUUUUGAGCAGUGUGGUACCAAAUGCGAGUGCUGCAACAAAUGCUAUCAGUUCAGCUAUUGACUGCACUUGUUAACAAGCUGAUAUGAUUUUGAGUAAAAAUUUCAGUGGAUAUAUUUAUUAAAAACUAAGGCAUGGGAAAUGGUAAGCUGAUAGUACUAAUUGGGCGAAAAUAUUGUACAACUUAGAACAAGGCAUGAAGUUGAUAGUACUAAUCAACUCGAAUUUGUCAUCAGAUUUACAACAAAGUUGAUGACUAUUACAGGUUCAGAGAUGCAAUUAAUCAACUCGUUCGUGACCGUUUCACUUGAACUCUUGAGGUAUAUAUAUGCUCUGCCUUCAUCCACUUUAUUGGUUUAUAAGCUAGACAUACUACACAGCAGUUCCCUGAAUUUGGUUUGCUAACUUGUUAUUGACAUGGGAUUUUAUGUUGAUCUGCAGAUCAAUGAGGCCUGAAG
RNAcentral lists this long non-coding RNA (2300 nucleotides) under Prunus dulcis (almond). RNAcentral's name for it is "sRNA ncRNA". Lineage: Eukaryota; Viridiplantae; Streptophyta; Magnoliopsida; Rosales; Rosaceae. The record is from RNAcentral.